AGAGUUUGAUCCUGGCUCAGGAUGAACGCUGGCGGCGUGCUUAACACAUGCAAGUCGAACGAACCUUCGGGUUAGUGGCGGACGGGUGAGUAACGCGUGGGAAUCUGCCCUCAGGAGGGGGAUAACGGUUGGAAACGGCCGCUAAUACCCCAUAUGCCGAGAGGUGAAAUGAAUUUCGCCUGAGGAUGAGCCCGCGUCUGAUUAGCUAGUUGGUGAGGUAAUGGCUCACCAAGGCAUCGAUCAGUAGCUGGUCUGAGAGGAUGAUCAGCCACACUGGGACUGAGACACGGCCCAGACUCCUACGGGAGGCAGCAGUGGGGAAUUUUCCGCAAUGGGCGAAAGCCUGACGGAGCAACGCCGCGUGAGGGAUGAAGGCCUCUGGGCUGUAAACCUCUUUUAUCAAGGAAGAAGAUCUGACGGUACUUGAUGAAUAAGCCACGGCUAAUUCCGUGCCAGCAGCCGCGGUAAUACGGGAGUGGCAAGCGUUAUCCGGAAUUAUUGGGCGUAAAGCGUCCGCAGGCGGCCCUUCAAGUCUGCUGUUAAAAAGUGGAGCUUAACUCCAUCAUGGCAGUGGAAACUGAGGGGCUUGAGUGUGGUAGGGGCAGAGGGAAUUCCCGGUGUAGCGGUGAAAUGCGUAGAUAUCGGGAAGAACACCAGUGGCGAAGGCGCUCUGCUGGGCCAUCACUGACGCUCAUGGACGAAAGCCAGGGGAGCGAAAGGGAUUAGAUACCCCUGUAGUCCUGGCCGUAAACGAUGAACACUAGGUGUCGGGGGAAUCGACCCCCUCGGUGUCGUAGCCAACGCGUUAAGUGUUCCGCCUGGGGAGUACGCACGCAAGUGUGAAACUCAAAGGAAUUGACGGGGGCCCGCACAAGCGGUGGAGUAUGUGGUUUAAUUCGAUGCAACGCGAAGAACCUUACCAGGGUUUGACAUCCUGCGAAUCUCUUGGAAACGAGAGAGUGCCUUCGGGAGCGCAGUGACAGGUGGUGCAUGGCUGUCGUCAGCUCGUGUCGUGAGAUGUUGGGUUAAGUCCCGCAACGAGCGCAACCCACGUCUUUAGUUGCCAGCAUUUAGUUGGGCACUCUAGAGAGACCGCCGGUGAUAAACCGGAGGAAGGUGUGGAUGACGUCAAGUCAUCAUGCCCCUUACAUCCUGGGCUACACACGUACUACAAUGCUACGGACAAAGGGCAGCAAGUUCGCGAGGACAAGCAAAUCCCAUAAACCGUAGCUCAGUUCAGAUCGUAGGCUGCAACUCGCCUACGUGAAGGAGGAAUCGCUAGUAAUCGCAGGUCAGCAUACUGCGGUGAAUACGUUCCCGGGCCUUGUACACACCGCCCGUCACACCAUGGAAGUUGGCCAUGCCCGAAGCCGUUACUCCAACCCUUGUGGAGGAGGACGUCGAAGGUGGGGCUGAUGACUGGGGUGAAGUCGUAACAAGGUAACC
RNAcentral lists this ribosomal RNA (1446 nucleotides) under uncultured bacterium. RNAcentral describes it as "bacterial SSU rRNA". It matches the Rfam family "Bacterial small subunit ribosomal RNA". The record is from RNAcentral.